UUUGAGCAAGGUUUAGCCAACCUGCAGUCACACACAGGAAGAGACAGUGCCAUCUUCCUCUGGAUAUUGUUGUGUUAUAUCUGGAGUUAGCACCUGGAAUUGUUACAGCCUUUUUGCUAUUAGGCUGAAGAUGAAGCCAAUGAGCAGAGAAAGGCCAAGGCAAGAGACGACAGAAAAGCAGUAGCCUCCCCGACUUCUGUGACCAAGAAAAAAACAGAAUUCCCCAAAAGAACUUGGAGGUGCGGGCAUAACUCUGAGGAUUGGGGUUGAAUUCCAUGCCUAACUUUUGGCAGAGGACGUCGUUCUGAAAAGACAUUACAAAGAUAUCCUUCUGAUAAAAUUCUGAG
Molecule: long non-coding RNA, 347 nt
Filed under: Equus asinus (donkey)
Lineage: Eukaryota; Metazoa; Chordata; Mammalia; Perissodactyla; Equidae
Description: lncRNA (ENSEASG00005027811.1)
Source: RNAcentral